This is a long non-coding RNA of Triticum aestivum (bread wheat), 3157 nucleotides long. RefSeq lists it as uncharacterized. The record is from RefSeq and is a predicted model, not a curated record. NCBI's taxonomy places the organism in Eukaryota, Viridiplantae, Streptophyta, Magnoliopsida, Poales, Poaceae. The transcript is spliced from 3 exons.
ACACGGGCAUGUAUGCAUCGAAGGAGAGCUCGGGGUACGGCCGCCGCUGCCGCCACGCGUGGAUGGUCUUCCUGUCCGGCCAUCGGGGUAGCCCACGCAGGCGAGCUGCAGAUUUGGAUGGGCUGCCUGGCCCACGCAGCGGACGGCGGUGGUUCGAGCAACUCCUCGACGCAGGGGAAAAGAUUGGCGGCGCUGGAGUUCGCCGGAACGGGCAGGCGGCCGGUGGGUGACGCAAGGCCGCGGCGCCGGCGCGAGGAAGACGAGCGGAUCCGACUGCUGGCGCGGCGGCUUGCUCCAGUGGCGGCGGCGGCCUGCUCAUCCGUAGAAAGAGAGACAGGGCGUGAGGGAGAGAGGAAGAAAGGAGAGGGAGAAGGGGGCGCAGGGUCAGGGAGGCGAUCGAUAGCGGUGGCGGCUCCGGCGACCGGCCGGCGGGCUUGCCAGGCAAGGCUAAGGAGUACGCCAGCCUAAGAUUCGAUAGCGGGAAUGACUUGAAUGGAUUUCUGAAUUCCAAACAGUAUGCUGUCGUGAUGUUUGAUUAGUGUCUUCUGUGAAUCUGUACCAAAACAGACUAGACAGCAGACCAAGGCCAUGGAUCGGUUGAUUCAAUAGGGAAGGAAGAGACAGCAGAUUAUAAAACGAGCUUGGGGAUUAACUGGCCUGAAACUUAAACAGGGCCGCCCUGAUGAUGGACUCAAGCUCCAGGUUUGCUCGCCUAGCACGUCCUAAUUACAUUGGCUCUUGUCAAAAUGUCUAGCAGAUGGAUAAUGAAUUCAUUCUGUGAUGCCACAUAGAUAUGCAAAGUCAUAGUCCUGCAUGUAUGCACGUACCUCUUCCUAAUGGCACGAUGUAGUCUUUCUACUGAUACAUACAAGUCGAUAGACGGGCACACACAUUAGUAAGUUUUGCUACUAGCCUAAUGAAGAGCAUUUUAUACAUCCUUGCAGAUAAAAAAUGAAUUGAAUUAUGAGCAUCAGACAACUACGAUCAAUUUCCCGGUUAUACCUGAAAUAAAAGUGGCCGACCAAAUGAAAGGAGGGAUGCUCUCCUUGAUGUGAGAUUGUAUAGAUUAUCUUACUUGAUCUGCAAUAUUUCUUUGGAUUUCUUUUUUAUGAAAGACACAUGACACAUAGUUUGCUGGAUGGGUCUAAGAUAAAUAUUUUAGUUAUAGGAGGAUUUUUUGAACGAGUAAUAGUAUUACCACCAUUUACUUGGUCUGUUGUGCUUUCGAUAGAGCUUUCAUAUUUCAACAGAAAAACAACAAUUCAAGUUGGGACCAGAAUCGCACAAACAUCAAGCUCAAAGGAAAUAUCAGUUGGGAGUGAUCAAGUAUUCAUUUUCUUAGUGAUCUAAUAGGUCUUAUAUUUGUUUAGAGAGGGAGUAUGUUUCUAGAUAGCCGUCAAUUCCAAUGUUUCGUUUAUUUACUCUCUGAAUAUGAAGAAGAUAGGUUUGCAAUGUAGCUUUUUACAUGAUAAUGUAACAAACAUUUAUGUCUUAUAACUGCAAACAUUUUUUAGUCCAUCACCGAGCAAAUGUUUGGGAGUUGGAAAUUAUUUGGAUACACGUGAUCUCAGCAAAGAAAGAUUCACACAUACUGCAACCAAAGGAGCUCCUUUCACUCUCUAUGCAACUAGAGAAAUUAUCCUUAAUUACGAGCAGUACCCUAGAUUUAGUUGUGGUUCUAACAUAUUAGAGAUGUGGUUAGAAUACCUACUACUCUGAAAUAUUAAGUGGUUUGCACAAAUCACCGAUUCCCUCGUGCAGUGUACAAUGUGAUAUUGAUCAUCAUAGGAUCAAACUUAAUAUAGGAAGUAUGCACUUAAUUGUUUCUGAACUAUACUACUUUGUAUGUUCAUUCUCCUUUCCUUUUAAAUCUCCAAUUUAGUUGCAAGUAUUUUAUUUGUUAUCAUUUGGCUUCUUAAUAAGAAAUUCAGCAAGCAACUACUCGACUGAUGAGAGAGAUGUUGACAAUUUUUGCUGCAGUGAGGUGCAUUCUCGAUCAUGUUAAUAAUCUGUAUCUAAAUUAUUCAGAUGUGAAACUCAUCCUUCUUAAAACAUCUGCAACACAUAUGUGCACUCCGAAAUGGUAAAAUAUUUGCAUUCUAUAGGCCUUCAAGUUUGUGUAGCAUCCCCAUAUUUACCUGGUUAGUGUAUAUGUUGGUAUGCAUUUUGCCUGCACAAGAUUGGAAAUGGUGAUAGAUUUGCACAAGACUACUUGCCACUUCUUAUAGGAUUGGUGAAAGAAGAUGAGUAAUUGCUGAAAUUUGAUGUUCUGUGUACCGAAUCAAGACAUGCCACUAUAGAUGUUUUUUCAAAGGCAGCUAGCUACUUGGAUUGCGCAAAUCAACAAGAACUCCCUCAUAUAGCAUCAGAACUAAGGAGACAACUUCCAGUAGACCUGGCCAAUGGAAAUCUCAAUUCUCUUAGCCUGUAAGCUCAGCUCUCAAUCAGGUAUUCUAUUCGUAACUCAGCGUAUUUUUUCUGAAGUUUUAGGCCUAACUCCCAAACAUCUUUUGUCAAGAGUAAGAAUGUAGCUGUUGAUGGUUGCUUGCUGAAGAAGAGUGGUAUCAAUAUUACCAUAGAAGUAGAUGGUUUUCGAAUUAUUCUUGAUUUUCUAUUGUGUUAAUAUCUCUCUGCUCUGUUUUUAAUUGGGAAUCCUUGCUCCUUGGGUCCCUGUAAAUUGUACAAAAGGUAAUUUAUCUGAAUUUUAUGGUCUUUUAGUUUGUUCUGAGCCUCUGAGUUUCCUCAGUUCUUCUGUACCUUUUCUUUGUUGGUUUACAUUUAUUGGAUGUUCCAAUGUUAUUCUAUGUUCAUAUGUGCAAUCAGAUUUACAAAACAACAAGCAAAGCAAUUUAUGAACGUUGCAUUUUCUAUUUUAUCAACGUUGCAUUUUCUUAGUUGUCGUUAGUUACCAGAUGUGCUAGAGCACACACGCAUGUGUGCGAUUUUGCCCUGGCUUUCUGAUUUCUGAAUUGAAACGAGUAGGUGCAUGGGUUUCUUGACAGAGUCAAGUAGCGGUGCUUUGAGCUUGAUGUCCCGUGACCCAGUUCCUUGAACUGGCUAACCCUUAUUGAUGUCGUAUGUCCUGAACUAACUCUCAUGACCAAGUCCUCAACACGUCUGACCCUCACAGGCAUGUUGUGCCGUGGCUCGAUUCAUU